AGAGCGAACGCUGGCGGCAGGCCUAACACAUGCAAGUCGAGCGCGUGUAGCAAUACACGAGCGGCAGACGGGAGAGUAACACGUGGGAACGCGCCCUUCGGUUCGGAAUAACUCAGGGAAACUUGAGCUAAUACCGGAUACGCCCUUACGGGGAAAGAUUUAUUGCCGAAGGAACGGCCCGCGUCCGAUUAGCUAGUUGGUGAGGUAACGGCUCACCAAGGCGACGAUCGGUAGCUGGUCUGAGAGGAUGACCAGCCUCACUGGGACUGAGACACGGCCCAGACUCCUACGGGAGGCAGCAGUGGGGAAUAUUGGACAAUGGGCGCAAGCCUGAUCCAGCCAUGCCGCGUGGAUGAUGAAGGCCUUAGGGUUGUAAGUCUUUAACGGGGAAGAUAAUGACGGUACCGUAGAAUAAGCCCGGCUAACUUCGCGCCAGCAGCGC
RNAcentral lists this ribosomal RNA (442 nucleotides) under uncultured bacterium. RNAcentral describes it as "SSU rRNA". It matches the Rfam family "Bacterial small subunit ribosomal RNA", at positions 26 to 518 of the family's 1533-position model. The record is from RNAcentral.